Molecule: transfer RNA, 216 nt
Filed under: Equus caballus (horse)
Lineage: Eukaryota; Metazoa; Chordata; Mammalia; Perissodactyla; Equidae
Description: partial transfer RNA-Thr
Source: RNAcentral
AGUCCUUGGGAGGAACGUUUUUCCCCCUCUUCUGGUUUACAAGACCAGGGUAUGUAAAGACGCACAUAACCCUGGUCUUGCUAUACCUAGCAACUGGUUGACGCACAUCACCCCCGUGGUGCUAUACCUCGCAGCUGGUUCAGACACAUCACCCCGGGUGUUGCUCUACAUGGCACCUGGGUUGACCACACAAACCAGCGCUGGUUGUAUCAAGCG